This 401-nucleotide unclassified non-coding RNA is filed under the name soil metagenome. RNAcentral's name for it is "partial contains 5.8S ribosomal RNA, internal transcribed spacer 2, and large subunit ribosomal RNA". The stretch from base 1 to 121 matches the Rfam family "5.8S ribosomal RNA", at positions 35 to 154 of the family's 154-position model. The record is from RNAcentral.
GAUGAAGAACGUAGCGAAAUGCGAUAAGUAAUGUGAAUUGCAGAAUUCAGUGAAUCAUCGAAUCUUUGAACGCACCUUGCGCCCUUUGGCCAUUCCGAAGGGCAUGCCUGUUUGAGUAUCAUGAACACCUCAACUCUCAUGGCUCGCCAUGAUGAGCUUGGAUUUGGGGGUCUUGCUGGCCUGUGGUCGGCUCCUCUCAAAUGGAUCAGCUUGCCAGUGUUUGGUGGCAUCACAGGUGUGAUAACUAUCUGCGCUUGUGGUUUUCCAUCAGAUAACCUUCAGUGAUGGAGGUUCGCUGGAGCUCAUAAACGUCUCCCCUAAGCGGGGACAGCCCUUUGAAUGUUUGAUCUCAAAUCAGGUAGAACUACCCGCUGAACUUAAGCAUAUCAAUAAGCGGAGGA